GACGAACCGUCCAAACGUUAUUCGGAAUUACUGGGCUUAAAGGGUGCGUAGGCGGCGCGGAAAGUUGGGUGUGAAAUCCCUCGGCUCAACCGAGGAACUGCGCCCAAUACUGCCGUGCUCGAGGGAGAUAGAGGUGAGCGGAACUUAGGGUGGAGCGGUGAAAUGCGUUGAUAUCCUAAGGAACACCGGUGGCGAAAGCGGCUCACUGGAUCUCUUCUGACGCUGAGGCACGAAAGCUAGGGUAGCAAACGGG
This 253-nucleotide non-coding RNA is filed under the name uncultured bacterium. RNAcentral describes it as "partial 16S ribosomal RNA". It matches the Rfam family "Bacterial small subunit ribosomal RNA", at positions 524 to 776 of the family's 1533-position model. RNAcentral also lists the same sequence under 1 other name. The record is from RNAcentral.